UAGGGAAUAUUGCGCAAUGGACGAAAGUCUGACGCAGCGACGCCGCGUGAGGGAUGAAGGUUCUCGGAUCGUAAACCUCUGUCAGAAGGAAAGAAAGCGCGUGGCUCCAAUCAACCAUGCGUUGACGGUACCUUCAAAGGAAGCGCCGGCUAACUCCGUGCCAGCAGCCGCGGUAAUACGGAGGGCGCAAGCGUUAAUCGGAAUUACUGGGCGUAAAGCGCGCGUAGGCUGUUGUGUAAGUCAGAGGUGAAAGCCCACGGCUUAACCGUGGAACUGCCUUUGAUACUGCGCGACUUGAAUCCGGGAGAGGGCGGCGGAAUUCCAGGUGUAGGAGUGAAAUCCGUAGAUAUCUGGAGGAACACCAGUGGCGAAGGCGGCCGCCUGGACCGGAAUUGACGCUGAGGCGCGAAAGCGUGGGGAGCAAACAGG
This 429-nucleotide ribosomal RNA is filed under the name uncultured bacterium. RNAcentral's name for it is "bacterial SSU rRNA". It matches the Rfam family "Bacterial small subunit ribosomal RNA", at positions 355 to 776 of the family's 1533-position model. The record is from RNAcentral.